GGGACAGGGAAGCUCACUCAGCAGCGGGGAGAGGGGCUGAGUGGCUGAGUGCUCAUCACUCCUGGCCCUGGAAAGUCGGGCUCCCCUGGGCCCUAACAGGGCUCUCCCUGAUCAGGGAGGUGAGUUCCCAGGAAGCAGGGCUCCCAGGAAUGGGCAGACUGAGCAGGAGAAUCUGAGAGGGUGGAGGCCUCGCGCCCACUCAAGCUUGGGAGCUUGGAGCAGGACACACCCAGGCGGUGUUAGCCUGCAGGAUAGGCAGGAUAGGGUGGAAAAGCACACUCUCUACAGACGGGCAGAGGUGGGGGAGCUAGGGGCCGUGGGGACUUUACUGCCUACACACUCUGAAUCUAAAGCCCCCUCCCUUCCUUUCUAAGCCAAGUUCCUCAUUAGCUUCCCAUUUUAAUCCUUCUCUAGCCUGGUAAUGCUUAAAAAUGUUAAAGAUACAUUAGGUUUUAAAAAUUAUGCUUUUGUUUUC
RNAcentral lists this RNase P RNA (475 nucleotides) under Peromyscus maniculatus bairdii (prairie deer mouse). RNAcentral describes it as "Nuclear RNase P (ENSPEMG00000004308.2)". The stretch from base 29 to 283 matches the Rfam family "Nuclear RNase P". Rfam says of the family: Ribonuclease P (RNase P) is a ubiquitous endoribonuclease, found in archaea, bacteria and eukarya as well as chloroplasts and mitochondria. Its best characterised activity is the generation of mature 5'-ends of tRNAs by cleaving the 5'-leader elements of precursor-tRNAs. The record is from RNAcentral. Lineage: Eukaryota; Metazoa; Chordata; Mammalia; Rodentia; Cricetidae.